UACACAAAAAAUAAUAGAUAUAAACUUAAUAUAUAAAAAUCUUUAUACAUAUAAAUUUAUACAUGUAAACCUUUAUAUCUAUAAAAGUUAAAUCUCUAUUUGUAAAGCAAAAACAUGAAAGAAAAAAGAAAAAAUGCCACGCGUCUGCAGUCUAAUUGGGCCGCAUCAGUAUACGUGGGCCUUGGCAUGGCUAGAAGUGCCGCGCGGCCCGCGCGCCUAUCUGCGACAGUGGAGUGGAACGUGUUCGCGCGAGGACGAUGUGAGCGACGAAUUAGACUAUUCGGCUUCGGUUGCUCCGCUUUUGUUCGUCGCCCCCCAAAACCCUAGCCCAUUCCCUUCACCUGCUCGACAGCCUCCGCCGGCGACUGUGUUGUCGGUAGGCGGUGGUCCUAACAGCGGCGGCGUCUCUACGCCUGCUCGACGGCCUCCGCCGGCGCCUGUGUUGUCGGUAGGCGGUGCUCCUAACGGCGGCGUGGCUUAACGGCGGN
RNAcentral lists this long non-coding RNA (488 nucleotides) under Oryza brachyantha (malo sina). Its description in RNAcentral is "long non-coding RNA (OBRA_LNC000886)". The record is from RNAcentral. Lineage: Eukaryota; Viridiplantae; Streptophyta; Magnoliopsida; Poales; Poaceae.